GUGAAGAACGUAGCGAAAUGCGAUAAGUAAUGUGAAUUGCAGAAUUCAGUGAAUCAUCGAAUCUUUGAACGCACCUUGCACCCUUUGGUAUUCCGAAGGGUAUGCUCGUUUGAGUGUCAUUGUACUCUCACACUUCUAAUUCCUUUCGGGAUUGGGAGCGGUGGACUUGGGUGUUGCUGCUUUAGUUGUGGCUCACCUCAAAUAAGUUAGUGCAACUCUUGGUUGGACAUAGUACGGCGUGAUAAGUGUCUUCGCCGGCGCCUCUGUAAGGAGGGUGGCCGAUCGGGAGCUCUGUGCUUCAAACCGUCUUCGGACAAUCUUUGACAACUUGACCUCAAAUCGAGUAGGACUACCCGCUGAACUUAAGCAUAUCAAUAAGCGGAGGA
RNAcentral lists this unclassified non-coding RNA (386 nucleotides) under soil metagenome. RNAcentral's name for it is "partial contains 5.8S ribosomal RNA, internal transcribed spacer 2, and large subunit ribosomal RNA". The stretch from base 2 to 119 matches the Rfam family "5.8S ribosomal RNA", at positions 37 to 154 of the family's 154-position model. The record is from RNAcentral.